Molecule: ribosomal RNA, 1124 nt
Filed under: uncultured bacterium
Lineage: Bacteria
Description: bacterial SSU rRNA
Rfam family: Bacterial small subunit ribosomal RNA
Source: RNAcentral
GGAUCCAGACUUUGAUCAUGGCUCAGAAUGAACGCUGGCGGCGUGCCUAACACAUGCAAGUCGAACGCGAAAGUCCUUCGGGAUGAGUAAAGUGGCGCACGGGUGAGUAACACGUAGGUGACCUGCCUUUUAGAGGGGAAUAACCAGAAGAAAUUUUGGCUAAUGCCGCAUACGAAGUACAAAUCUAAGAGUAGUACUUGAAAGGAUGCCUCUGUAUAUGCAUUCACUAAAAGAUGGGCCUGCGGUACAUUAGCUUGUUGGUGGGGUAAAGGCCUACCAAGGCAACGAUGUAUAUCCGGUCUGAGAGGAUGAUCGGACACACUGGAACUGAGACACGGUCCAGACUCCUACGGGAGGCAGCAGUGGGGAAUAUUGCGCAAUGGGGGAAACCCUGACGCAGCAACGCCGCGUGAGUGAGGAAGGACUUCGGUCUGUAAAGCUCUGUUAAUGUGGAAAAAUGGUAGCUGGUCUAAUAGGCCGGCUAUUUGAUGGUACACAUAGAGGAAGCACCGGCUAACUUCGUGCCAGCAGCCGCGGUAAUACGAAGGGUGCAAGCGUUGUUCGGAUUUAUUGGGCGUAAAGCGCGCGUAGGCGGACCUGUAAGUCAGAUGUGAAAUCUCGGGGCUCAACCUCGAAACUGCGUCUGAAACUGCAGGUCUAGAAUCUUGGAGGGGGAAGGGGAAUUUCGCAUGUAGGGGUAAAAUCCGUAGAUAUGCGAAGGAACACCAGAGGCGAAGGCGCCUUCCUGGACAAGUAUUGACGCUGAGGCGCGAAAGCGUGGGGAUCAAACAGGAUUAGAUACCCUGGUAGUCCACGCUGUAAACGAUGAAUACUAGGUAUUGGAGGAUUUGACCCCUUCAGUGCCGUAGCUAACGCGUUAAGUAUUCCGCCUGGGAAGUACGGUCGCAAGACUAAAACUCAAAGGAAUUGACGGGGGCCCGCACAAGCGGUGGAUUAUGUGGUUUAAUUCGAAGCAACGCGCAGAACCUUACCUAGGCUUGAAAUCCCACGAACCUGCUUUAAACGGCGGGGUGCUCUUCGGAGAAUGUGGUGACAGGCGCUGCAUGGCUGUCGUCAGCUCGUGUCGUGAGAUGUUGGGUUAAGUCUCGCAACGAGCGCAACGC